Molecule: RNA transcript, 898 nt
Organism: Salvia miltiorrhiza (redroot sage)
Lineage: Eukaryota; Viridiplantae; Streptophyta; Magnoliopsida; Lamiales; Lamiaceae
Gene name: protein PHOTOSYSTEM I ASSEMBLY 2, chloroplastic
Exons: 5
Source: RefSeq, a predicted model, not a curated record
GAUUCACUUGUCAUGGAUGCCAUACUCUCAUUAUCUAUACACAAAUCCCUCUUCCUAAUAAAACACACACAUCACACACUAACCAAGAACCAAAACAUGAAGAGUUUGAACUUCACCUCUCCACCGCUCAUUAUUCCCACCACAUCCCAACAAACACCAAGAAACCUCAAACCACAUGCAUCAAAAUCUGGUGGCUUCUCACUCAAAUCAGUGACAAAUAGGUGCCAAACAUGCAAAGGACAAGGUGCGGUAGAAUGUGGAGGCUGCAAGGGAACGGGGAAGAACAAGAAGAACGGAAACAUCUUCGAGAGGUGGAAGUGCUUCGACUGCCAGGGAUUCGGGCUCAAGAGCUGCCCCGCCUGUGGGAAAGGCGGGCUGACGCCGGAGCAACGCGGAGAGAGAUGAAUAUUUCAUAUAAAGCAGACAGUCUUGUUUUUUGUGUGUGAUUUUCCAUUGCAGCAUAUAUGAAUAUGCUUAUAUAUAAAGGGCAUGACAAGUCAAGAGGAUGAAAAUGUUGAUCAACGCUAAGGGCGGUGAUAUGCUGAGUCAGUCGUGAGAUGAUCCCAAGUGACAGCCCCGAUACCAGUAAACUCUGUAAAGUCUAUCAACCUUGGCGAAUAAUAUGAAGAACAUGUGAUCUUAAAGAUGAUAACCAAGAACUGACAUUGGACAGUCAUGAAGGAAAAAAAUAAAAUAGUUAGUUAAUUAAUAGUCGAUUUCUAGUUAGAUUCUCAUGAUGAUUAUAACUAACGUUGUGUAAGUGAAUUCUUAGAAAACUAUUGUACCCUUCGUUUCUAGUGCAGUAUAAACAGGAGAGAAAAUCUCAUUGUAAAGACACGUUCACUUUCAAUCUAGAAUUCCGGCAUUUAAAGUUUCUAAGCAAUAUAUAUCUUUCGCA